This 301-nucleotide ribosomal RNA is filed under the name uncultured bacterium. RNAcentral describes it as "partial 16S ribosomal RNA". It matches the Rfam family "Bacterial small subunit ribosomal RNA", at positions 509 to 809 of the family's 1533-position model. The record is from RNAcentral.
CAGCCGCCACGGUAAUACGUAGGUGGCAAGCGUUGUCCGGAGUUAUUGGGCGUAAAGGGCUCGCAGGCGGUUUCUUAAGUCUGAUGUGAAAGCCCCCGGCUCAACCGGGGAGGGUCAUUGGAAACUGGGAAACUUGAGUGCAGAAGAGGAGAGUGGAAUUCCACGUGUAGCGGUGAAAUGCGUAGAGAUGUGGAGGAACACCAGUGGCGAAGGCGACUCUCUGGUCUGUAACUGACGCUGAGGAGCGAAAGCGUGGGGAGCGAACAGGAUUAGAUACCCCUGUAGUCCCUGUCUCUUAUAU